GACGAACGCUGGCGGCGUGCUUAACACAUGCAAGUCGAACGGAAAGGCCCUGCUUUUGUGGGGUGCUCGAGUGGCGAACGGGUGAGUAACACGUGAGUAACCUGCCCUUGACUUUGGGAUAACUUCAGGAAACUGGGGCUAAUACCGGAUAGGAGCUCCUGCUGCAUGGUGGGGGUUGGAAAGUUUCGGCGGGUGGGGAUGGACUCGCGGCUUAUGAGCUUGUUGGUGGGGUAGUGGCUUACCAAGGCUUUGACGGGUAGCCGGCCUGAGAGGGUGACCGGCCACAUUGGGACUGAGAUACGGCCCAGACUCCUACGGGAGGCAGCAGUGGGGAAUAUUGCACAAUGGGCGGAAGCCUGAUGCAGCAACGCCGCGUGCGGGAUGACGGCCUUCGGGUUGUAAACCGCUUUCGCCUGUGACGAAGCGUGAGUGACGGUAAUGGGUAAAGAAGCACCGGCUAACUACGUG
Molecule: ribosomal RNA, 468 nt
Filed under: uncultured bacterium
Lineage: Bacteria
Description: partial 16S ribosomal RNA
Rfam family: Bacterial small subunit ribosomal RNA
Source: RNAcentral